This 195-nucleotide ribosomal RNA is filed under the name uncultured bacterium. RNAcentral describes it as "partial 16S ribosomal RNA". It matches the Rfam family "Bacterial small subunit ribosomal RNA", at positions 330 to 539 of the family's 1533-position model. The record is from RNAcentral.
ACUCGACACCUACGGGAGCAGCAGUGGGGAAUAUUGCACAAUGGGGGAAACCCUGAUGCAGCGACGCCGCGUGAAGGAAGAAGUAUCUCGGUAUGUAAACUUCUAUCAGCAGGGAAGAAAGUGACGGUACCUGACUAAGAAGCCCCGGCUAACUACGUGCCAGCAGCCGCGGUAAUCUGAGCGGGCUGGCAAGGC